Molecule: long non-coding RNA, 291 nt
Filed under: Ananas comosus (pineapple)
Lineage: Eukaryota; Viridiplantae; Streptophyta; Magnoliopsida; Poales; Bromeliaceae
Description: long non-coding RNA (ACOM_LNC005608)
Source: RNAcentral
CAAAAAGGUGGCAACAACUGGUGUGAGAACUACUGCAAAACAGAGUAGUCCUCAGUGGAUACCGUCACCUACCUCAACGGCCCACCCACUAAGUCUACAGUAAUGGUAUGAACAGGAUAAUAAGGAAAGCUAGAAAGAACUCUACAGCUACAUGCCUCUAUUCUAUCGCUACCAAAACAACUAUCUUUAGACAAAACCAUGCAUUACUAGCUACCGCUGACCCAAUCUCACACGGGCUGCCGAAACGGACCCACCCUGCCUGUAACCAAGCUACACCAUACACCACCUACG